GCCCUUGUAGCUAAGCGGAAGAGCCACUCCCUUAGUAAGGGAGUGGCCUAGGGUUCAAGUCCCGAAGAGGAAA
This 73-nucleotide transfer RNA is filed under the name Prochlorococcus marinus subsp. marinus str. CCMP1375. RNAcentral describes it as "tRNA-Thr-AGT-1-1". The record is from RNAcentral. Lineage: Bacteria; Bacillati; Cyanobacteriota; Cyanophyceae; Synechococcales; Prochlorococcaceae.